Molecule: transfer RNA, 73 nt
Filed under: Stegodyphus mimosarum
Lineage: Eukaryota; Metazoa; Arthropoda; Arachnida; Araneae; Eresidae
Rfam family: tRNA
About the family: Transfer RNA (tRNA) molecules are approximately 80 nucleotides in length. Their secondary structure includes four short double-helical elements and three loops (D, anti-codon, and T loops). Further hydrogen bonds mediate the characteristic L-shaped molecular structure. tRNAs have two regions of fundamental functional importance: the anti-codon, which is responsible for specific mRNA codon recognition, and the 3' end, to which the tRNAs corresponding amino acid is attached (by aminoacyl-tRNA synthetases). tRNAs cope with the degeneracy of the genetic code in two manners: having more than one tRNA (with a specific anti-codon) for a particular amino acid; and 'wobble' base-pairing, i.e. permitting non-standard base-pairing at the 3rd anti-codon position.
Source: Rfam by way of RNAcentral
GCCUUCAUGGUGUAAUGGUCAGCACACUCGACGCGUAGUCGAGAGGUCCGGGGUUCGAGUCUCGGCCAGGGCU